RNAcentral lists this ribosomal RNA (116 nucleotides) under Patagioenas fasciata monilis. Lineage: Eukaryota; Metazoa; Chordata; Aves; Columbiformes; Columbidae. The record is from RNAcentral.
AUAUAGAGCCAUAGCAGCCUGAGAACGCCCCGUCUGGUCUGCUCUGGGAAGCUAAGCAGGGUCGGGCCCGGUCAGCGCUUGGAUGGGAGACCAGGUGGCCGAGCGGGCUGCGUGUG